CCUACGGGUGGCAGCAGUGAGGAAUAUUGGUCAAUGGGCGCGAGCCUGAACCAGCCAAGUCGCGUGAGGGAAGACGGUCCUAUGGAUUGUAAACCUCUUUUGUCGGGGAGCAAAAGACGCCACGCGUGGCGUUCCGAGUGUACCCGAAGAAAAAGCGUCGGCUAACUCGGUUCCAGCAGCCGCGGUGAUACGGAGGAUGCGAGCGUUAUCCGGAUUUAUUGGGUUGAACGGGAGCGCAGGCGGAAGAUCAAGUCAGCGGGAAAAUGAAGGGUCGAAACCUCUUCGAGCCGUUGAAACUGGUUUUCUUGAGUGAGCGAGAAGUAUGCGGAAUGCGUGGUGUAGCGGUGAAAUGCAUAGAUAUCACGCAGAACUCCGAUUGCGAAGGCAGCAUACCGGCGCUCAACUGACGCUCAUGCACGAAAGUGUGGGUAUCGAACAGGAUUAGAUACCCCUGUAGUC
RNAcentral lists this ribosomal RNA (459 nucleotides) under uncultured bacterium. RNAcentral describes it as "partial 16S ribosomal RNA". It matches the Rfam family "Bacterial small subunit ribosomal RNA", at positions 338 to 795 of the family's 1533-position model. The record is from RNAcentral.